RNAcentral lists this ribosomal RNA (392 nucleotides) under uncultured bacterium. Its description in RNAcentral is "partial 16S ribosomal RNA". It matches the Rfam family "Bacterial small subunit ribosomal RNA", at positions 523 to 918 of the family's 1533-position model. The record is from RNAcentral.
AUACGGAGGAUCCGAGCGUUAUCCGGAUUUAUUGGGUUUAAAGGGUGCGCAGGCGGCCAUUUAAGUCAGCGGUUAAAUCGUGGGGCUCAACCCCAUUCUGCCGUUGAUACUGGGUGGCUUGAUUGCGGUCGAGGUUGGCGGAAUUCGUUGUGUAGCGGUGAAAUGCAUAGAUAUGACGAAGAACACCGAUUGCGUAGGCAGCUGACCAGACCGCAAAUGACGCGCAUGCACGAAAGUGCGGGGAUCGAACAGGAUUAGAUACCCUGGUAGUCCGCACAGUAAACGAUGAAUACUUGUUUUCGGCGAUAUAAUGUCGGAGGCAAAGCGAAAGCGAUAAGUAUUCCACCUGGGGGGUACGCCGGCAACGGUGAAACUCAAAGGAAUUGACGGGG